AGCUUGCUUCUCUGAUGUUAGCGGCGGACGGGUGAGUAACACGUGGAUAACCUACCUAUAAGACUGGGAUAACUUCGGGAAACCGGAGCUAAUACCGGAUAAUAUUUUGAACCGCAUGGUUCAAAAGUGAAAGACGGUCUUGCUGUCACUUAUAGAUGGAUCCGCGCUGCAUUAGCUAGUUGGUAAGGUAACGGCUUACCAAGGCAACGAUGCAUAGCCGACCUGAGAGGGUGAUCGGCCACACUGGAACUGAGACACGGUCCAGACUCCUACGGGAGGCAGCAGUAGGGAAUCUUCCGCAAUGGGCGAAAGCCUGACGGAGCAACGCCGCGUGAGUGAUGAAGGUCUUCGGAUCGUAAAACUCUGUUAUUAGGGAAGAACAUAUGUGUAAGUAACUGUGCACAUCUUGACGGUACCUAAUCAGAAAGCCACGGCUAACUACGUGCCAGCAGCCGCGGUAAUACGUAGGUGGCGAGCGUUAUCCGGAAUUAUUGGGCGUAAAGCGCGCGUAGGCGGUUUUUUAAGUCUGAUGUGAAAGCCCACGGCUCAACCGUGGAGGGUCAUUGGAAACUGGAAAACUUGAGUGCAGAAGAGGAAAGUGGAAUUCCAUGUGUAGCGGUGAAAUGCGCAGAGAUAUGGAGGAACACCAGUGGCGAA
RNAcentral lists this ribosomal RNA (657 nucleotides) under uncultured Staphylococcus sp. RNAcentral's name for it is "bacterial SSU rRNA". It matches the Rfam family "Bacterial small subunit ribosomal RNA", at positions 77 to 719 of the family's 1533-position model. The record is from RNAcentral. Lineage: Bacteria; Bacillati; Bacillota; Bacilli; Caryophanales; Staphylococcaceae.